CUCUCAUACUCAAAUUAAUGUUACAUUGCAAUACCUUUUGAUAUAUAUAUAUUUGAUUCUACUUUGUCUAUUGUUUCAACUCUCAAUUCUGAUUCUUUGAGGUCGUAGCAGGGGUAAUUUGAGCUUGUGAUUGGACUUUUAGCUAGUCAUUUCAUUAUUUAUAAGCCCUACAGGCUUCAUCUUCUCAGGAUACAACACAACUAACUACACAGUUUUAGUUCUUGAAGCUGUUUUAGAAACAACAAUAGUUACUCUAGAACUGAAAAAUUGUACUAAAUGAUAGUUGUAGUACAAAUAGUUGUGAAUAUUAACGUGUUAUUCAUGGAUCAUGAUAAUGAAAUUCCACCUCUUAUGUUUUU
Long non-coding RNA from Solanum stenotomum, 359 nucleotides. RefSeq lists it as uncharacterized. The transcript is spliced from 3 exons. The record is from RefSeq and is a predicted model, not a curated record. NCBI's taxonomy places the organism in Eukaryota, Viridiplantae, Streptophyta, Magnoliopsida, Solanales, Solanaceae.